GGGUUGUGAGGUUAAGCGACUAAGCGUACACGGUGGAUGCCCUGGCAGUCAGAGGCGAUGAAGGACGUGCUAAUCUGCGAAAAGCGCCGGCGAGGUGAUAUGAACCUUUGACCCGGCGAUGUCCGAAUGGGGAAACCCAGUGUGAUUCGUCACACUAUCGUUAACUGAAUACAUAGGUUAACGAGGCGAACCGGGGGAACUGAAACAUCUAAGUACCCCGAGGAAAAGAAAUCAACCGAGAUUCCCCCAGUAGCGGCGAGCGAACGGGGAGCAGCCCAGAGUCUGAAUCAGCUUGUGUGUUAGUGGAAGCGUCUGGAAAGUCGCACGGUACAGGGUGACAGUCCCGUACACGAAAACACACAGGUUGUGAACUCGAAGAGUAGGGCGGGACACGUGGUAUCCUGUCUGAAUAUGGGGGGACCAUCCUCCAAGGCUAAAUACUCCUGACUGACCGAUAGUGAACCAGUACCGUGAGGGAAAGGCGAAAAGAACCCCGGCGAGGGGAGUGAAAAAGAACCUGAAACCGUGUACGUACAAGCAGUGGGAGCACCUUCGUGGUGUGACUGCGUACCUUUUGUAUAAUGGGUCAGCGACUUAUAUUCUGUAGCAAGGUUAACCGUAUAGGGGAGCCGAAGGGAAACCGAGUCUUAACUGGGCGUUAAGUUGCAGGGUAUAGACCCGAAACCCGGUGAUCUAGCCAUGGGCAGGUUGAAGGUUGGGUAACACUAACUGGAGGACCGAACCGACUAAUGUUGAAAAAUUAGCGGAUGACUUGUGGCUGGGGGUGAAAGGCCAAUCAAACCGGGAGAUAGCUGGUUCUCCCCGAAAGCUAUUUAGGUAGCGCCUCGUGAACUCAUCUUCGGGGGUAGAGCACUGUUUCGGCUAGGGGGCCAUCCCGGCUUACCAACCCGAUGCAAACUACGAAUACCGAAGAAUGUUAUCACGGGAGACACACGGCGGGUGCUAACGUCCGUCGUGAAGAGGGAAACAACCCAGACCGCCAGCUAAGGUCCCAAAGUCAUGGUUAAGUGGGAAACGAUGUGGGAAGGCACAGACAGCCAGGAUGUUGGCUUAGAAGCAGCCAUCAUUUAAAGAAAGCGUAAUAGCUCACUGGUCGAGUCGGCCUGCGCGGAAGAUGUAACGGGGCUAAACCAUGCACCGAAGCUGCGGCAGCGACGCUUAUGCGUUGUUGGGUAGGGGAGCGUUCUGUAAGCCGUUGAAGGUGUGCUGUGAGGCAUGCUGGAGGUAUCAGAAGUGCGAAUGCUGACAUAAGUAACGAUAAAGCGGGUGAAAAGCCCGCUCGCCGGAAGACCAAGGGUUCCUGUCCAACGUUAAUCGGGGCAGGGUGAGUCGACCCCUAAGGCGAGGCCGAAAGGCGUAGUCGAUGGGAAACAGGUUAAUAUUCCUGUACUUGGUGUUACUGCGAAGGGGGGACGGAGAAGGCUAUGUUAGCCGGGCGACGGUUGUCCCGGUUUAAGCAUGUAGGCGGAGGUUCCAGGUAAAUCCGGUACCUUUUAACGCUGAGGUGUGAUGACGAGGCACUACGGUGCUGAAGUAACAAAUGCCCUGCUUCCAGGAAAAGCCUCUAAGCAUCAGGUAACAUUAAAUCGUACCCCAAACCGACACAGGUGGUCAGGUAGAGAAUACCAAGGCGCUUGAGAGAACUCGGGUGAAGGAACUAGGCAAAAUGGUGCCGUAACUUCGGGAGAAGGCACGCUGAUAUGUAGGUGAAGCCCCUGCGGGUGGAGCUGAAAUCAGUCGAAGAUACCAGCUGGCUGCAACUGUUUAUUAAAAACACAGCACUGUGCAAACACGAAAGUGGACGUAUACGGUGUGACGCCUGCCCGGUGCCGGAAGGUUAAUUGAUGGGGUUAGCGGCAACGCGAAGCUCUUGAUCGAAGCCCCGGUAAACGGCGGCCGUAACUAUAACGGUCCUAAGGUAGCGAAAUUCCUUGUCGGGUAAGUUCCGACCUGCACGAAUGGCGUAAUGAUGGCCAGGCUGUCUCCACCCGAGACUCAGUGAAAUUGAACUCGCUGUGAAGAUGCAGUGUACCCGCGGCAAGACGGAAAGACCCCGUGAACCUUUACUAUAGCUUGACACUGAACACUGGUCCUUGAUGUGUAGGAUAGGUGGGAGGCUUUGAAGCGUGGACGCCAGUCUGCGUGGAGCCGUCCUUGAAAUACCACCCUUUAAUGGCUGGUGUUCUAACGUAGACCCGUGAUCCGGGUUGCGGACAGUGUCUGGUGGGUAGUUUGACUGGGGCGGUCUCCUCCCAAAGAGUAACGGAGGAGCACGAAGGUUAGCUAAUCCUGGUCGGACAUCAGGAGGUUAGUGCAAUGGCAUAAGCUAGCUUGACUGCGAGAGUGACGGCUCGAGCAGGUGCGAAAGCAGGUCAUAGUGAUCCGGUGGUUCUGAAUGGAAGGGCCAUCGCUCAACGGAUAAAAGGUACUCCGGGGAUAACAGGCUGAUACCGCCCAAGAGUUCAUAUCGACGGCGGUGUUUGGCACCUCGAUGUCGGCUCAUCACAUCCUGGGGCUGAAGUAGGUCCCAAGGGUAUGGCUGUUCGCCAUUUAAAGUGGUACGCGAGCUGGGUUUAGAACGUCGUGAGACAGUUCGGUCCCUAUCUGCCGUGGGCGCUGGAGAAUUGAGGGGGGCUGCUCCUAGUACGAGAGGACCGGAGUGGACGCAUCACUGGUGUUCGGGUUGUCAUGCCAAUGGCACUGCCCGGUAGCUAAAUGCGGAAAAGAUAAGUGCUGAAAGCAUCUAAGCACGAAACUUGCCCCGAGAUGAGUUCUCCCUGAGACUUUAAGUCUCCUGAAGGAACGUUAAAGACUAUGACGUUGAUAGGUCGGGUGUGUAAGCGCAGCGAUGCGUUGAGCUAACCGAUACUAAUGAACCGUGAGGCUUAACCUUACAACGCCGAAG
Molecule: ribosomal RNA, 2926 nt
Filed under: Enterobacter sp. SGAir0187
Lineage: Bacteria; Pseudomonadati; Pseudomonadota; Gammaproteobacteria; Enterobacterales; Enterobacteriaceae
Description: 23S ribosomal RNA
Rfam family: Bacterial large subunit ribosomal RNA
Source: RNAcentral